Long non-coding RNA from Fundulus heteroclitus (mummichog), 920 nucleotides. RefSeq lists it as uncharacterized. The transcript is spliced from 3 exons. NCBI's taxonomy places the organism in Eukaryota, Metazoa, Chordata, Actinopteri, Cyprinodontiformes, Fundulidae. The record is from RefSeq and is a predicted model, not a curated record.
AGGUGUUAGAGGCAGGUAGAGGUUUUAGACGUGGGGACAGGUGUUAGAGGCAGGGAAAGGUGUUAGAUGUAGGUAGAGGUGUUAGACACGGGGACAGGUGUUAGACGUGGGGAAAGGUGUUAGAGGCAGGUAGAGGUGUUAGAGACAGGGACAGGUGUUAGAGGUGGGGAAAGGUGUUAGAGGCAGGGACAGGUGUUAGAGGCAGGGACAGGUGUUCGAGGCAGGGACAGGUGUUAGAGGUGGGGACAGGUGUUCGAGGCAGGGACAGGUGUUAGAGGUGGGGACAGGUGUUAGAGACAGGGAAAAGUGUUGGAGGCGGGGACAGGUGUUAGACAUGGGGACAGGUGUUAGACGCAGAAACAGGUAUUAGAGGCAGGGACAGGGGUUAGAGGCAAGUAGAGGUGUUAGACAAAGGGACCCUCAGGAAACCAGCAGAGCCUCUGUUCUGCUGGUUUCUCUGAACCAGCAGGUUCUCUGGACCUAAUCUCAUCCAGAGAAACCAGGUCACAGAAAACCAGGAGACUUUCAGGAGGGACCUUCAUCCUGACAAGACCUCGGCUGGGGGAUGUGUUCUUGUGCCGGCGAGGUUCUGUGGUGAACAACAAACCUCUCCCCGCCCCUGCUCUAACGUCCGGUUGACUCUAAGGUCCGGUUGACUUUAAGGUCCGGCUGGGUGGAGUCUAAGGUCUGGUGGACUCUUAGGCCCAGCUGACCCUAAAGCACGGUGGACUCUAAGGUCCAAUAGACUCUAAGGUCCAGCUUGGUGGACUCCAAGGUCUGGUGGAUUCUAAGGUCCGGUGGACUGUAAGGUCCGGCUGGGUGGAGUCUAAGGUCUGGUGGACUCUUAGGCCCAGCUGACCUUAAAGCACGGUGGACUCUGAGAUCUGGUGGACUCUAAGGUCCAAUAGACUCUAAGGUCC